This 1518-nucleotide ribosomal RNA is filed under the name uncultured Planctomycetales bacterium. RNAcentral describes it as "16S ribosomal RNA". It matches the Rfam family "Bacterial small subunit ribosomal RNA". Lineage: Bacteria; Pseudomonadati; Planctomycetota; Planctomycetia; Planctomycetales. The record is from RNAcentral.
CAUGCAAGUCGAACGAGGAUGUACCCUUCGGGAUAUAAGCCGAGUGGCAUAAGGGUGAGCAAUGCAUAGAUUACCUACCUUUAGGAUAAGGACAACUUUGUGAAAACGGAGCUAAUACUUAAUAAUACAAAGGAAAAUAAUUUUCUUUUGUCAAAGGGAGGGUAGCAAUACCUUUCGCCUAGAGAGGGGUUUAUGUCCUAUCAGCUUGUUGGUGGGGUAAUAGCCUACCAAGGCGAAGACGGGUAGCCGGUUUAAGAGGAUGGUCGGCCACACUGGGACUGAGACACUGCCCAGACUUCUACGGAAGGCUGCAGUCGAGAAUCUUUCGCAAUGCCCGAAAGGGUGACGAAGCGACGCCGCGUGGGUGAAGAAGGCCUUCGGGUUGUAAAACCCUGUCAGGAGUUAUGAAAUGUAAGUGCGCUAAUAUCGUGCUUAUUUGACAAAGGCUCCAAAGGAAGCCACGGCUAACUCUGUGCCAGCAGCCGCGGUAAUACAGAGGUGGCGAGCGUUGUUCGGAAUUAUUGGGCGUAAAGAGCACGUAGGUGGGUUUGCAAGUCAGAUGUGAAAGCCUUCUGUUCAACGGGAGAAUUGCAUCUGAAACUGCUAAUCUUGAGUGUAGGAGGGGAGAAUGGAACUUCUGGUGGAGCGGUGAAAUGCGUAGAUAUCAGAAGGAACGCCGGCGGCGAAAGCGAUUCUCUGGCCUAUUACUGACACUCAGUGUGCGAAAGCUAGGGGAGCAAACGGGAUUAGAUACCCCGGUAGUCCUAGCCGUAAACGAUGGGCACUAAGUAGAGGGGAUUACCUAUGUUCUCUCUGCCGUAGCUAACGCAUUAAGCGCCCCGCCUGGGGAGUACGGCCGCAAGGCUAAAACUCAAAAGAAUUGACGGGGGCUCGCACAAGCGGUGGAGCAUGUGGCUUAAUUCGAUGCAACGCGAAAAACCUUACCGGGGCUUGACAUGAUAGAAGUAGGAACCUGAAAGGGGGACGAACGGUAUCCAGUCCGUAGCUAUUACAGGUGUUGCAUGGCUGUCGUCAGCUCGUGUCGUGAGACGUUGGGUUAAGUCCCCUAACGAGCGAAACCCUUGUUUUUAGUUACCAGCGGGUUAUGCCGGGUACUCUAGAAAGACUGCCGUCGUCAAGACGGAGGAAGGUGGGGAUGACGUCAAGUCAUCAUGGCCCUUAUGCCCCGGGCUGCACACGUGCUACAAUGGUCGGUACAGACGGAAGCGAAGCCGAGAGGUGAAGCGAAUCCUAAAAAGCCGAUCUCAGUUCGGAUUGGAGGCUGAAAUUCGCCUCCAUGAAGUUGGAAUCGCUAGUAAUCGCGGAUCAGCAAUGUCGCGGUGAAUAUGUUCCCGAGCCUUGUACACACCGCCCGUCAAGCCACCCAAGCAGGAUGCACCCGAAAACAUUAUAUCUAACCAGGGCAACUUGGAGGAAAAUGUUGAAGGAGUGUUUUGUGAGGAGGACUAAGUCGUAACAAGGUAGUCGUAGGAGAACCUGCGGCUGGAUCACCUCCUU